UCUCUCUCUCUCUCUCCCCCUCUCCUUCCGUCUCCUGUACCUCAAAAUCCUAUCAACCCUCGUAAUAAAAAUUCUCUCUCUAUUCCUAUUCACCCAUGUAUAUAUAAUUAAUGGCUAUCUGUCUUCAGAUCUGCCUUGCUUGCCUUCUUCUGCCAUUUUCAUCUUAAACAAGAUCCAUGUAAAACGAAAACUGAGACCUUCUCCUCCCUCUAUGCGUAUCAGAUUCGAAGAGCUAUAACAUGGGUCGUCUGUUCACGAUCGGGCUAAUAACAGCAUGGUACUCCUCAAACAUUGGAGUAUUAUUAUUAAACAAGUACUUGCUUAGCAACUACGGAUUCAAGUACCCAAUUUUCCUCACCUUAUGUCACAUGAUGUCGUGUUCUUUGCUCAGUUACAUUGCCAUUUCAUGGCUCAAGGUUGUGCCUUUGCAGACGAUAAGAUCAAAAGUGCAGUUUUUCAAGAUAUCUUCACUUGGGAUCAUUUUUUGCUUAUCCGUUGUUACUGGCAAUGUUUCGCUUAAGUAUCUUCCUGUGUCGUUUAAUCAGGCCAUUGGGGCUACCACUCCCUUUUUCACUGCUGUUUUUGCAUAUUUAAUGACAUUGAAGAGGGAGAGUUGGGUUACUUACGUCACUCUCAUUCCUGUUGUUACUGGUGUUGUCAUCGCCAGUGGGGUAAUAACUUCAACAUUUUCUUCUUCUAAUUUGUUAAUAUCGUUAGUUCUAAUCUACUUUUUGUGAUAUUUUUGCCAAUUUUGUUCUUGAAAUUGCUAAAAAAGUCCAGUGCUUACAUUGAAAGAACAAUAAUUAAUUGUCUGAUGGAUUUAUCAUUGUUAAUUAUUGAAAAAUUAAGAGAAUUAGGUUAAUAAUGUUUGUUUUGGUGAUUGAUGUUAUAAUUUUUUUCUUGUUACAUGACCAAAGGGAGAACCAAGUUUUCAUCUCUUUGGUUUUAUAGUGUGUAUUGGUGCUACAGCAGCACGUGCACUCAAGACAGUGUUUCAAGGGAUUUUGCUGUCUUCUGAAGGGGAAAAACUCCAUUCAAUGAACCUAUUAAUGUAUAUGGCUCCUGUAGCUGUUGCUUUCCUUAUUCCUACUGCAAUUUUUAUGGAAGGAGAUGUAGUUGGGAUCACAAUUGCCCUUGCCAGGGAUGAUAUGAAAUUCAUACUGUAUCUGACCUUCAAUUCUGCACUGGCAUAUUUUGUGAACUUGGCCAAUUUCUUGGUCACUAAACACACCAGUGCCUUGACACUCCAGGUCCUGGGAAAUGCGAAAGGGGCUGUUGCAGUUGUUAUUUCAAUUUUGAUAUUCAGAAAUCCUGUAUCAGUGACUGGUAUGUUUGGAUACUCAAUAACUGUAAUUGGGGUCAUUCUCUACAAUGAAGCCAAGAAAAGGUACAAAUAAGACAGUCAUCAUGCAUGGUAUACAGAUACAGAUUCGAUCUUUUUUCUGACUUUUAUUUAACUGAAGAUAUAUUCAGCAGUAGCAAGCUUUGUGACUAAGGCUGUAAGUUCAUGUCACAGAUGCUAUAACUUGACCUCUUUCAAGUUCUGACAGUUAAUAGCAAGGAACCAUAAAAUAAAGGAAGGCUUUUUCUCAGCCAAGUGCUGCUGGGCAAUCUAUCUUCGCCUUGUUUGGAGGGUGGAGAAUAUUUUGACUGAUUCAUCCCUAAAACCUUUUUUUUUUGUUUUUCAUCUUUACAAAAUUUUGAUCACCAAAAGGUACAAUUUUGGUUAAUUGAUAGGAAGAUGAUAUGAGAAUUUUAGCUUUAUUGAUUCAUUUUUCUCCCCCUAGUGGUAGUCGACUUGUAUUCUCUGUACUGGCGCUUGGCAAUUGGCAUCUGCAAUUCAUUUGCAGCACCUUAAGAUGUACUUUAACUUUAUUUGUUUGAAAAGGCAUCCACAAAUUCUAU
RNAcentral lists this unclassified non-coding RNA (1905 nucleotides) under Hevea brasiliensis (rubber tree). The record is from RNAcentral. Lineage: Eukaryota; Viridiplantae; Streptophyta; Magnoliopsida; Malpighiales; Euphorbiaceae.